RNAcentral lists this transfer RNA (71 nucleotides) under Capsaloides cristatus. RNAcentral's name for it is "tRNA-Thr". Lineage: Eukaryota; Metazoa; Platyhelminthes; Monogenea; Capsalidea; Capsalidae. The record is from RNAcentral.
GCGCGCAUAGUUUAAUUUUUUUAAAAUUUUGUUUUUGUAAAACAAGGAUAGUUUAUAGUAACUUGCUCGCA